Molecule: long non-coding RNA, 510 nt
Organism: Empidonax traillii (willow flycatcher)
Lineage: Eukaryota; Metazoa; Chordata; Aves; Passeriformes; Tyrannidae
Exons: 2
Source: RefSeq, a predicted model, not a curated record
CACUUUUUAAAGCAAUUAAUUGCUGCAUCCUUGUCUUUCAAAAUUGUGUUCAGUUUGGGAUCUAAAAACAUGGAGACAUUUUAAGAAAGCAAACUUAGCAUAUUUACUUUCUACAUGCCUCUGUGCUGUACAUAACAGACCGCAUUAGGCAGUGCAUUCGUAUCAGAGAGUUUGGCCCUGUAGGUUCUGCAGUUGUUGUUUCUUGAUUCCCAUUUCUCCUUCCCUUAAAUUAUUUUUUUUAAAAUAGGUCAUUAAUCUUUUGCUUGGUUUCUCAAAUCAUUUGAGACUUAUGGGAGGUUUGGUUUUUUUGCUUUUCUCCAUAGUGUCUUUAUGGAGUGUUUGUCCAGUUGAGAAGUAUGAGGCUUGUUUCUGUUUACGAGGUGGGAUUAUUUUUUGGUUUUUUUUUUUCUGUAAGUUUUUUUGUUUUUCAAAUUAAAUCUUUUUUAAGAAUGUGUCUGUCAAAAUCAGUCUUGUAAAUGGCCCUGAUACUCUGCCAUGGUGGGAAAGAAA